CCGCGAAUUUAUCAUAAUGAUAAAUUCGGACGUGUUUAAGAAUUUACUCAUAUAGUAAAUUCAAAGGUGGAGCUCAUACUGCAAUAUUAACGAUUACAAAACAUACAAACAUAUGCGGACAUUAACCGCAUUAAGACAUACAGACAUUAAAAACAACACAUACAGUAGGAAGAGACAGAGGACUACGGGCAGAGCCGCAUCUUCAGAAUCAUAAGUUGAUUUUAAAGCGCUGUGCCUCUGGUAAUAUUCCUUCAGCAAGUGUUUAUAGGAAGACAGAGACGUUGUUUUCGAUUUGAAUGCUUGAUACAUGUCUAUGUGUUUUAUAUAUCUAGUAUUUACAACAUGAGCGGCCGCGAGAGUUUGUAUAUCCGAUACAACACGGACGUGAAUGUUGUAAAUGGCCUGUGAAACGUCUUGAUGAGAACAUACGUAUUCUUCAACAAUUGUGAUAUUCGGUGAGAAAAUUCAAUAUGUCAAUCAGCAUGAUUUUGUAUGAGAAUAACAAGCUCCUUCACGGUCAUGAUUUCCUUUCUGUUUUCUCAUGAAUUAUUAAUGAGUUUCAUUUUCACAAAUAUUUUUUUUUGUGCGGGGGAGGGGGGUUGUCACCCCCUGGGAUUUCUAAUGGUCCGCCUACUGUGAAUUGUAGUCUAUCUGUGUUUCGACUGACAUUCGGCUGACAACGAGGUGAUGCUAGCAAAUGCAUACGCUGUGUAACAGGCUUAGUUUUUAGCUUUGAAGAGUUCGAAUUCUUUCAUCGCGAGAGAUUUCGUUGAAUAAAAUAAUUGCCUGGCCAAACGCUAUCAUACCGAAUUAAAUACCCGCGGAAAAGUUCUAUAUCACAAAUUGAAACAACUAACGUCACUGUCAUGUUAAGUGGUUAAUUAAAGAAUUCAUCGGCACACCACGAAACAGCCCCGUUACGCAUAUUGCGCAAUCUUACAACAGGAAUUCAGUGCCCCUGACGCAACUCUUUUAUCGUCUCAUUAGAAAAAACACUUUGACUUUACUGUUUAUUGCACUUUUGUCCCAUUGGCCUCGUUUUCAUGUUUGCCUGUUUUGGCAUGGCGGGGAACAUUAAUAAAAAGCAAAGCGUUCACUUCGAGGUUCACUUCAUGCGCCCGUGAGAGUCUGUGAUGGACUGUACCUACACACUAUCAUAUAGAAUAUAUUUUGAUAUUGAUUCUAAAAGCUAUCAAUUAUUACAAAUUAUUACAAAUUGAUACAACUUAGUACUGGUCCUAUAUCUCUUUGAUGUUGCUAUUCUCGACUUAAGUGGGCGUUAAUUAACUUGCGCAAUCUUACGCUAGCCUUUUUCACACAUUCAAAAUAGUUUGUUCAAAUUUGAAUAUUAAUAUAUUAUCUCGGGCACUCCUCUGCCAUUGGCACUGUUAAUUCAGUUGGUUGAAACCAGGCGGGAACAACACCCACAUAGGUCCUAAGGGUGCGACAUUUUUUUAUUGUCACAUUUAAAACAAUCGUCAAGGCUGUAAAGUAACUUACUUUUUUUACCAAAAAUGAUCGAAAAUGUUAGUUCAAAUGUCACGCAAACUAAAAAUAGCAAACAAAAACAAAAGAUAUUUUACACCGUCUUUAAUUAAUACCUAAACCCAGAUUUACAAACUAAAACGGAAACAAACCAUCACAACAGGAAACUACUGUCUACUGUGGAUCAAACUUGCUUGCGCUAGACUAUAGUGGUUAUAUCAUGAUUUCCAAUUCAUCGUACUUAAAUUUUGCAAUAAUUAACACAAAAAUGCCUCGAGAAUCUUUCUAAACUUGAAGCACAGAAAGCAUAUACAUCGAUAAGGAACUGCAAAACUCAAAGUUGUAAACAAUUUGAACUUCGU
Non-coding RNA from Paramuricea clavata, 1847 nucleotides. Lineage: Eukaryota; Metazoa; Cnidaria; Anthozoa; Malacalcyonacea; Plexauridae. The record is from the annotation of a GenBank genome assembly.